UACAGAGGGUGCGAACGUUGCUCGGAAUUACUGGGCGUAAAGCGCGUGUAGGCGGAUGGGUAAGUCAGAUGUGAAAUCCCCGGGCUCAACCCGGGAACUGCAUUUGAAACUGCUCGUCUUGAGUGCCGGAGAGGGUGGCGGAAUUCCUGGUGUAGAGGUGAAAUUCGUAGAUAUCAGGAGGAACACCGGUGGCGAAGGCGGCCACCUGGACGGUAACUGACGCUGAGACGCGAAAGCGUGGGGAGCAAACAGGAUUAGAUACCCCAGUAGU
Molecule: ribosomal RNA, 271 nt
Filed under: uncultured bacterium
Lineage: Bacteria
Description: partial 16S ribosomal RNA
Rfam family: Bacterial small subunit ribosomal RNA
Source: RNAcentral